Long non-coding RNA from Cyclopterus lumpus (lumpfish), 1307 nucleotides. RefSeq lists it as uncharacterized. The transcript is spliced from 4 exons. The record is from RefSeq and is a predicted model, not a curated record. NCBI's taxonomy places the organism in Eukaryota, Metazoa, Chordata, Actinopteri, Perciformes, Cyclopteridae.
AAUACGCAUGCGCAGUUGAGCUCUGACGACGUUCUUUGUGAGGCGGAACGACGCAAGCGGGAAGAAAGCGCCAUUGUGUGAAGUUAUUUUAAGAUUCUGGCUGAGUGAUGUUGCUUAUCUCCUCCUCGCUUCCUGGAGAUGUUCAAGGAGGGUGUCAACCAGAAACGUAAUGAAUAUCUGCAACACCCGGGAUGUGACUGGAGAGUGAACAGCAGUCAUCCUUGGAGAUGAGAACGCACACUUCUUCAAGACAGGCUUUCGUUCCCUCUGUCAACGACAUCCUGUGCGCCGAAGAUAGAGCACAUCAAAACAGCGGGUUGAGGCUCUUCACUCCUUCUCCAGCUUCACGCUCUCAACCUUUGGCCUCGGUUGAGCCAGCCUGCUGUAAAUGCUCAUGGCCUGAGGGGAGCAGAAUGCAAUAGUUAAGCUUGAUUGUGAUAAUGAUAUAUACCUUUUCCUUUCUUAUAUUCUUAAGGGUAAAACCAAUAUACCUGUGUGACCAUUCCACUGACGUCACCGGUGUUGGAGGGCAGAAGCACAGUGUUGGACUCUUUGGCGAGGUUGGAGAAGGCGGAGACGUACUGUUCGGCAACACUCAGGGAGGCCGCCGCACUUCCGUUCUGUCGGGGACACAAGCGACAUCGUGGUUACUGUAAAAUACUGUGAAUAACUAAUCCUUUAAUAAAAAAAAGAGGCGAUAAUAUCCACUUCAUACCUGUUCAGCCAGAGCAUCCGACAGCAAACGAAUGGCCUUGGAUUUGGCUUCUGCUUUGGCUAACACAGCUUGGGCCUCACCUUAAAACAACACAGCGUGUAAAGGAGCAGUACAUUGUGGGCUUUAAACCUCCCAUUUCAUCAUUGACUCGCUUCUCCCCAAAUGUGGUCGCAGGUUUGUUUAAAGUCUGAAUGGGGAAAUCCUUGUGUAGUCUUGUAACACAGUCUGCAGGCACGCAAUUAAAUGCUUUGUGGAUUUAGGAUAAUGACGGUCUUACAACAACAAGACCUUCAAUUACAUUUGUGAUCACAUGAUUCAUGCAUGUUAGCGAGUCGAUGAAUAAUCCCAGUCUUUUUGAGCGAGAAGUAAAAUGCACCAACCGGCUGCUUUGUUUAUCUGCUCGGCCUUCUCUCCCUCCGAGGCGAGGAUUUGGGAUUGUUUGCGACCCUCUGCGAUGUUGAUGUCUGCUUCUCGCGUCCCUUCGGACUCCAGCACUGUGGCUCUCUUCUUGCGCUCGGCCUCCACCUACGCAGCAAAACAGAAUUACAAAAAAAUAAAAUCACCUGUCGGUUUGCAUAACCAUCAGAAACAC